This 227-nucleotide signal recognition particle RNA is filed under the name human gut metagenome. RNAcentral describes it as "Bacterial large signal recognition particle RNA". It matches the Rfam family "Bacterial large signal recognition particle RNA", at positions 3 to 225 of the family's 256-position model. From Rfam's summary of the family: The signal recognition particle (SRP) is a universally conserved ribonucleoprotein involved in the co-translational targeting of proteins to membranes. Archaeal SRP consists of a 7S RNA and homologues of the eukaryotic SRP19 and SRP54 proteins. The record is from RNAcentral.
UGUGCUAGGCGGGGAGCCAGCGGUGCCCUGUACCUACAAUCCGCUACAGUAGGGCUGACAUGCCGCCCGCGGUAUGUCUUGUGGAAGGCCGUUACCGUAUAAGUGGCGAUGAUACCAAGGUCUUGUGCAACGUUAUACCGUGAACCGUGUCAGGGCGGGGACGCAGCAGCACUAAGCGGACCAUGACGUGUGCCACAAGGUAGCUUUGGAGGAGUUAACUGUCGGGA